GUUUGGGGGCGGGGCUCUUAAAGAGAAGGCGAGUUAGCUGCCUUUCGGGAAAGUUACAUUUAAACAAUAUCGUUUGCCAAAUUUACUCCACCUGGACUUUGUAUACUUGAAUUCUGUCCACACGACUCGCGCAGUUAGCAGUUUUUGCAUUGUUAUUCGCUCUUUAGAGCAGAACGUGUUGUAUCGCCUGAUGUCUGGUAGCAGUGACAUCUAAAGCUAUCCCUGACGUGGCCAUUCCAAAAUGUAUCCUUGUGACUUAAUGCCAUGUUAACUGUGUGGUCGUCAUGUGCUGUCACCAUUUUCUGUGUCAAAAUUAUCAGGUACCACUUUUCGGUUAGAGUCGAAUUCUUUCCUGGAGGGUUAGGGAAAUUGGUAAGAGUGGUUAAAUGGAGUUUUCUUUGGCUCUGCUUUUUCUUUUAUUCCUUUUUGAAUUUUUCUGGUGUAAAUGUAUUGUAACCAAUGAUUAACAUUCAGUAAAUGGUGUAGCAAUCUGGCAGAUAUUUACACCUGCAAAUAUGUUUUCCUCAAAUUAUCUUUUAUAGAUAGACAAAGAUUUCUUUGAAGAUUGCAUUAAUGGACGAACUGUUCAUGACGUCUUCGGGAAUUGAAAGUUUUCAGCUGAUAUGUUGAUGUACUCAUUUCAGGUUGACAAGUAAAGCAAGAAUCGAGAGACGAAUUAUCAACCUUGGACAGAACGGGGUCGAUUGUCCAGAAAUAAAGCAAGAGACCUGAGGAAAAUAUGAACCUUGGACAGAACGCAAGAAUCGGGGUCACUCCGCCAUCGUCUUCCACCGUCCACUACAGGCAGUUUUUAAGCAUCUGUAAAAGCUGUCUACCUUGCUGCAACAUCUUAGAAUACGCAUGUGUAUUAAGACAUACGUUUGAAUACAUUAAACGCAUGCGUUUGAAAGAAAUGUUUGUACCACAAAGUAGACAACCCUUGGAAAGAUAUAAAAAAUGUGUAGGCUAGUGGUGGGUGUCGUGGGGGAGGACGGAGGGCAAAAAAAAAAACUGUUUUAAAUUAAAGUAAUAUUACUGUAUUAUGAGAGUGUAAGAACAAUAUUGUGAUAUUUACUAUUGUAGUAUAUUAUUAAAAAUAUAUUUUGUAAUACUGUACUAUUGCAGUACUGAAAUGUAUUAAAAGAUGUUUGUACCUCAGGGUAGUUUGUCUUCUGUCAAGAGUUACGAAAACUGUUUAACAGGGGCGGCUGAGGGGAGGGGUAGAUGAGUGUUACACACUGAGUGUUUUACACUGUCUGAGUGCUCAAGUUAAUGAGCGCAAUAGAAAUAAAGGUAUUAUAGUUCUAACAGAGGCGGGUGUAGUGGGGGAUGGUGGACUAAUCGAACCCCAAUUCUUCAUUUUAUUCUCUGAAUUGGGGGUCGAUCCAAUUUUGCUUUCUUUCAAAGAUUGAUAAUUGUCUCUACUAUCAUUCUUAAGGCGAUCGUAUUCCUUGGUAUCCAGCUUUGGGUGGUCGAAGAAACC
Stylophora pistillata is the source of this 1483-nucleotide long non-coding RNA. NCBI's taxonomy places the organism in Eukaryota, Metazoa, Cnidaria, Anthozoa, Scleractinia, Pocilloporidae. The record is from RefSeq and is a predicted model, not a curated record.